This 253-nucleotide long non-coding RNA is filed under the name Gossypium barbadense (sea-island cotton). RNAcentral describes it as "long non-coding RNA (GBAR_LNC022500)". Lineage: Eukaryota; Viridiplantae; Streptophyta; Magnoliopsida; Malvales; Malvaceae. The record is from RNAcentral.
GGGACUUGCAUGUCAAUUUCCCCCCUAAUUAGUAGUGGCCGGCCAUGACAAGUAUGGUAGACCAAGUGUGAUGGGCAAGAACAUGUCAUAAACAUGUUAAGUUAGUGUUUCAUGGGAAGUAUGAUAAAAUAAGGAGUAUGGGAUACAAAAUAUAUGCCUUUUAUAUUAAUAAAUUAAAUGUUAAAUGAAUAAAUAAUAUGAAAUAUGAACUUAUAUUAAAAGAAAUGGGUGAUAAAAACAAAGUUGGUUCAUC